AAGUCGUAACAAGGUUUCCGUAGGUGAACCUGCGGAAGGAUCAUGAACACGUAUCCGCGUUAACAGCAACCCUGUGAACCUUGAACGUGUUCCUGCAGCCCCAUAAAAUCAGCAAUCCCUGGUAAAUCAUUGUUGACCAGCUUUUGAGUCAGGGACCUCUGCCGAAACGGCUGUUCAGUACCGAGCGCGGCCUGGCAUCAGUGUCUGGAAGUGUCAUUGAUUGUGUAAGGAUGCCGGCAACCGGGUCUCAGGGCUCACCCCUUAUCACCCCACAGUUUCCGACUGGUCAGCCGAUAGUACGGACGCCGUAAAAACUGAACAACCGUUAACAAUGAUAUCUUGGUUC
RNAcentral lists this unclassified non-coding RNA (346 nucleotides) under fungal sp. Its description in RNAcentral is "partial internal transcribed spacer region". The stretch from base 1 to 46 matches the Rfam family "Eukaryotic small subunit ribosomal RNA", at positions 1786 to 1831 of the family's 1831-position model. Lineage: Eukaryota; Fungi. The record is from RNAcentral.